This 497-nucleotide ribosomal RNA is filed under the name uncultured Anaerolineaceae bacterium. Its description in RNAcentral is "bacterial SSU rRNA". It matches the Rfam family "Bacterial small subunit ribosomal RNA", at positions 887 to 1382 of the family's 1533-position model. The record is from RNAcentral. Lineage: Bacteria; Bacillati; Chloroflexota; Anaerolineae; Anaerolineales; Anaerolineaceae.
CGCCCGCUCAGAAACUCAAAUGAAUUCGAGGGGGCCCGCACAAGCGGUGGAGCAUGUGGUUUAAUUCGAAGCAACGCGAAGAACCUUACCAGGCCUUGACAUGCAGAGAACUUUCCAGAGAUGGAUUGGUGCCUUCGGGAACUCUGACACAGGUGCUGCAUGGCUGUCGUCAGCUCGUGUCGUGAGGUGUCGGGUUAAGUCCCAUAACGAGCGCAACCCCUACCUUUAGUUGCCAUCAGGUUAAGCUGGGGACUCUAAAGGAACUGCCUACGCAAGUAGUGAGGAAGGCGGGGAUGACGUCAAAUCAGCACGGCCCUUACGUCCAGGGCUACACACGUGCUACAAUGGCCGAUACAGAGGGCAGCUACCUGGUGACAGGAUGCAAAUCUCCAAAGUCGGUCUCAGUUCGGAUCGGAGUCUGCAACCCGACUCCGUGAAGUUGGAUUCGCUAGUAAUCGCGCAUCAGCCAUGGCGCGGUGAAUACGUUCCCGGGCCUU